RNAcentral lists this ribosomal RNA (484 nucleotides) under uncultured bacterium. Its description in RNAcentral is "partial 16S ribosomal RNA". It matches the Rfam family "Bacterial small subunit ribosomal RNA", at positions 30 to 507 of the family's 1533-position model. The record is from RNAcentral.
AUUGAACGCUGGCGGCAGGCCUAACACAUGCAAGUCGAGCGGAUGAAGGGAGCUUGCUCCUGGAUUCAGCGGCGGACGGGUGAGUAAUGCCUAGAAAUCUGCCUGGUAGUGGGGGAUAACGUCCGGAAACGGGCGCUAAUACCGCAUACGUCCUGCGGGAGAAAGUGGGGGAUCUUCGGACCUCACGCUAUCAGAUGAGCCUAGGUCGGAUUAGCUAGUUGGUGGGGUAAAGGCCUACCAAGGCGACGAUCCGUAACUGGUCUGAGAGGAUGAUCAGUCACACUGGAACUGAGACACGGUCCAGACUCCUACGGGAGGCAGCAGUGGGGAAUAUUGGACAAUGGGCGAAAGCCUGAUCCAGCCAUGCCGCGUGUGUGAAGAAGGUCUUCGGAUUGUAAAGCACUUUAAGUUGGGAGGAAGGGCAGUAAGUUAAUACCUUGCUGUUUUGACGUUACCAACAGAAUAAGCACCGGCUAACUUCGUG